Lolium perenne is the source of this 4507-nucleotide long non-coding RNA. RefSeq lists it as uncharacterized. The record is from RefSeq and is a predicted model, not a curated record. NCBI's taxonomy places the organism in Eukaryota, Viridiplantae, Streptophyta, Magnoliopsida, Poales, Poaceae.
GCCUUCUCAAAGAAGAUAAAAUUCCACCGCCGCUCCUCCUCGGCACCUCCUUUCCUACUGAAUUGCGGCCAGGUCGCCAGCCUCAGAACCUGAGAUCAGAGAUGAGAACGGCGAUGGUCUGGGCUUCAGCAGUGCGAGAAUCGACUGAGCGGCCGACCAUGGCGCGAGGGGAGUGGCCAGGCCGCGAGUCGGAGCGUGGUGCCGGAGUCGGGCGGGCGCAACGAAGGGCCAGAGCUAGCGGGUUCUGGAGCUGGAGGGCGCAGAAAGAUGGAGCAGCCGGCUGCGUCAAGGACGGCGCGGACGCGGAGUCGGCGGAGUGGCCGGGCCGCGAGCUGGAGCGUGACGCCGGAGCCGGGUGGACGCGGCGAAGGGGCGGAGCUGGCGAGUUCCGGAGCUGGAGGGGGUCAGGCGCAUCAAGCGCGGUGCGGGCGCGGAGUCGACGGAGCGGCACGGUCAGCGCAGCCGACAAGGGCGUGGUCCGGCACGGCGCGAGCCAGAAGGGAGCGGCACGGAAGUCAGAGGCGCGAGUGGAGCGGUGGGGCUCGCCGGAGCCGGAGCUUGGCGUGGAGCAUGUGGAGAGGCCGGAGGGCACGGGGGGAGGACGUCGUGGGAGCAGGACGACGGUAGGGCGAUGGAACGCGAGCCGGCGCUGGCCGAGGAGCGAGCGGAGCGUCGGACUUGGGCGCAUGCGUGGCCGGAGCGGCAGAGGUGCGGGACUCUCGAGCUGCAGACGUAUUCCGGGAGCAGGGCGCCAACGGCGGGCGCGCGGCCAUGCCGCACAGGGGAGGAGCAUGGGUGUGGUAUCAAGCACGGUGGCGCGCUGAGGGUGCGAAGGGCGUCGCGGGAUGCAAAUGGCGCGGGUCCGGAGGGGCGGCGCAGGCGGCGUCCUGACGGACACGUGCCGUGCGGGCCAACGCAGGUGAAGGAAGAUGCAUGAUGACUUGAUGAGGCUCGCUCGAGGGAGUGUCUGGCCGGGAGCCAGAGGAGGGUGCUCCAGGGGCGCACGCGGGAGCCGCCGGCGGGGUUGCGGCCUCGCGCAGGGCUAGAGGAGGUUGCGCAGAGCUACGCAGGGCGGCGGCCGGCGCGGGAAGAGCAGUUUCGCGGGUGCUGGCAGGCGCGCAGGAGAGGAGGGAGCCAUCGAUCGUGGCGUGGCUAAUCCAGAGCGGAGCAGGGGAGGGAGGCGACCACCACACAGCCCCACGGCCCCCACGGGCGCCGGCCGCGUCGUGCUGCACCAGUGAGGCAAAAUCCUCCUAUUCUCUCUAAGUUGGUUCUCAUUUCUGUGAUUGAAUUGGUUCUUUUGGGAUGCAUGCUUUAGGCUCCAUUGUAGAUAUUUAUUUCAUAUCGUCAAUGGAAUGGAGAGAUGUAUGGACCGCGAGUUGAAUUAGCCAACUGGACCAAAAAAAUCAGGUUUCAGUAAUAACAAGAUUUGUCCAUUUGUACUCAAUAGUUAAAUUGAGGAUAAAGGUUCUAAAAUGCAAGCAAACCUCUAUGAUAAUCACAUCAACACCAUGAUUUUACUCCAAUAUCAAUGUAUAAACAUGGACUGAUACAGAGUAACUUACUAAAUCCAUUUUUAUCCUGAUUUGGGUUUGUCCAAUUUUCUGGCCUGACUUUCAUCUGCUACCAUUUUUUAACCUUCUCAUUCUAUUUUACUCAAAGGUUACCUAUUUGCUAAGUCGAAACACUUCCUAUUGCUGUUAGCUGAACGCAUUUCUAGGUGCUAUGCAGGCAUUCUAGGGCUUCAUACAGCGAAGGUAUGUUUUGUUUAUUUCACGAGUCAGUUUAGAUCCUUACUGUACAUGUGCCAACAUGCUUAUUUCUUAUAAUUUCUGUAGAAAGCUUGCUAUUUCUGUUUGGUAUCAGAAAGCUCAUCUAUCUCAAAUGGAAUAGUUCAUGAGAGGAACAAAGAACAAAAGGACGAUAAUAUUUCUGUUUCAUAUCAGAAAGCUCAUAUAUCUCAAAUGGAAUAGUUUAUGAGAGGAACAAAGAACAAAAGGACGAUGAUAUUUUUAUUUUUUUGGUUUUGAAUGGUCAUUUGUAUGCUUACAAUAUUAUACCAAACGUGUUACAGGAGAAUGAGAAAUGACAGGGUUUAUUCAAAUCAGUAGUUUUUCAUGUAAUAUUAGACUGAAAAAAUGGUAAGCUACUAUCGUAUAUACAACUGAUGACUGAUCUCUACAUUUGCUCACAACAUUACAGGGUCUGUGACUGAACCUGAAAUGUGCUCACCGCAUAGUUGAUUUGCACGGACAACUUUUGUUACAUCGGCUGCAAGCCAUGUUGAGAGAGAGUAAACGUAUCUAGACUUAAAUACAUUCUCUAUGUCUGGAUUAAUUUGUUGAGACUUUCCAAGGUAUGCUCCUACAUAAUAAUAUAUGCAUUGGCAUUUCAAUGAAAGACGUACCACAACCUGCAGUGUUUUUCUUUUUCUUGGCUAUUCAUUUUUUCGCAUUAUGCCAGACUCAGUUCGUACAGUUCACAUUUGCCAUAAAGUAGUUUGAAGAUAUUACCGACAAAGAUGAAUUGGUCCCUAUGGCCAAAGCUAGGUUCGUUGAGCUGUCCACCAGUAAACUAAGUACGGAAUAUUUUUGCUUCCAGGUUCAGUCCUUUCAACCAAAGACAACCAAAGACCAGUGCAACAACGCGACAACCAAAAUAACACCACUGAUAAACAUGCCAACAUGCUCUCACCAAUACAGCAGAGCAACCAACUAAAACUACACCUGUGAUAGGCACACCAAUAUGAUCCUUCACUCAACAGGACUGGAAAAUAUAUGUUCUUCUUUAGCUUGGAGUUAUAUCGGAACUUUCUUCGCUUAUAGUUAUAUCGUUUCUUCUUUCGCAUGGAGAAAUUUUGUAAUAUUAAACAUGGUGACCACAUAAGAAUUCAGUUGAUGAGUUCAUAAUAUUUUGACCAAAUCUGAGGCAGGGUGAUUUUCUCUUAUAAAUUGAUCUUCAUGAGUUUAUAAAUUGACGUUUCUGUAUUUAACUGAAAGGUUCAUGGUGCUUAGUUUCCAGGUGGCCUUUUUGAUUUGCCAAAUUAUUAACAGAAAUAUGUAUACUUAAGGAGUCAUCAAUUGCAUCGACCAAGAUGCACUUCAUCCGCUACCUUACUCUGGUCACAAUAUCGGAAACUAGGGUUCAUUGUACAUAUUUACUUCCUGAUGUAGCCAUUUGGUAAAAUAGUAGUAGCAUAAUAUCAUCUGUUUUACUUUUCCCUACUGAAAACAGUCUGUUGUUUUUACCAACCACUGUACAUGUUCAGAACUUCACAUGUUAAAACAUGGAUAGGCAUUAAACCAUUGUCUUGCUUAAUUGAGGAAAUUUCCCAUUUUGCUUAUCUAGCAAUUUGCGUAUUCAUCUUGCUCUCUGAAUUUCUUUAGUAUGUCAGUGUUUUCUUUCAGAUGUCCUUUAUUUAUCAAAGAUCUCUGCCAAUACAUUUCAAAAUUAGUACAUUAAUUGGUCGCAUUGUUCACAAAGAACCUUGGUUCUUUUCCUUGGUCCAAUUGUGUUGUGCUUGCUUAGCUGAUCACUAUUCUGCAGAACUAGGCCAAAUAUGGUUUGGGUCGCAACAAAAGAAGAGUCUGUUUGCACCUCACAAUUUUCAAAGGAUAUGUCUUCAGAUCUUUAAGCUCUGUUUUCCCAGAUGACAAGAUUCAUCGAGCUCACCUGAAAAUUUUCAAAGGAUAUGCCUUCAGAUCUUUAAGCUAUGUUUUCCCAGAUGACAAGAUUCAUCGAGCUACCACAUAAUUUUCAAGUAACAAUGAUGAAAUGGGGCAACAAUACAUAUCAGGUCGUCCAGGCAGCAGCUGAAAACAGAAAAGGAGCAUAUGGGAAUUGAUUACCUCCUCCACACCUGAGGUUGUCUCCGUCAACAACGCUCUCGACCCAUAAAGCCCUGGCGAUGGCUGCGCCAAGCUCAACUUGCCCAUCGACCUACUGCUCGACCUUUCACAGGGAUGGAAGACUCAGACUAUCAACGAAGCCGCAGGUGCCGUACAAGCACUGAAGGUCCCCACUCAAGCAAGGAGCAAUGCCGUCCGCGGACCCAACACAAAAUGCCUCCAAAGAAGACUGUAAGCAUCCCCUCAUCUGACAAAGAGGACAACAAUGCAUAUUAUUGAUGAGCUUGACACCAACUAUCCGCAACAAAGUAUGGCUAAUUUUGGUAAUCAGCUGCACUGUCCUUCUGAACCACCAAGCUCUCCAUCCUCUACGGAGCAACAUACCUCUCCCGACUGAUAGCCCAUAUAUAGAGCAGGCUAUGCUCUGCUUUUGUCAUCUGAAUUUUGCUACUCUAUAGAUAAUCGGUAGAUGGCACAAAGUACUAUCGAUGACUAGAAAUCAUGUAGUGUGUAAAUGCAGAAAAACCCAAAGAAUGUACUAUGUAAUGCAUGUCUCUAUCUUACGAUGCUUUCUGUUUGUAUCCAUAUCAAUAAGCAAUCUUCCGCAAUGAUCUGUCCAUGUUACUGAUACGUCCAAAACGUAUCUACUUUUCCGAACA